UAUCCGAGCCCAAUUAAUUUUGUGGAUUGGUCUUCCGUAAACUCAUUAUGUGGCAAGAAAGUAAAUAUUAACCUCUACUCCACUUACGUCGUUAACUCUCUUCAUCUCCCUCAUUGUGACCAGCCAAAACCAAACCUGAUAUACUCUUCAAGAUCUCCAAUGUAACGCCUACCAUUAUGAUUUAUUGAGGGCUUCUUCAUGAAAGUAACUAUAGAAAGCAAUCAACCUCUUCAACAUCCCUACCUUCACAACACUGUAUAUAGAUAUAUGUCAGCUGGUUCUCUCGCAUCCCUCCU
This 296-nucleotide long non-coding RNA is filed under the name Brassica napus (rape). Its description in RNAcentral is "long non-coding RNA (BNAP_LNC020146)". Lineage: Eukaryota; Viridiplantae; Streptophyta; Magnoliopsida; Brassicales; Brassicaceae. The record is from RNAcentral.